ACUCCUACCUCCUCCCCCUCAAAGCCGCCACACCCACCAUUCCCCUCUUCCGCCUCCUCCUUCCCGGAUCCGUACUACCGCAACACCCACUCGUCUCCUCCUCUCUCUCUUCUAGCUUCCUCCUCCUUCAUGAUCUCUGCGUCGGCCGCAGCGUGAGAGGAGCAGCGGCGACGAUGUCAAGUUGCGAAGCGGUGGCGCUUGGGCGCGAGGCGGCAGAAGCAGCUACCCCGGGCCCCGGUUUGGGGGUUCGGUUCCAUAGCGCCGACGGCUUCUCCGUCUACAACACCGGGGCCAGCUAGUGUUCGUCGUGACCACAGCCGACCACCUCUCGUCGCUAGGGUCCAUGACGGCGGCCGGGUCAGGCUUAAGCGGAACUGCAGGAGGCCAUGAAGGCCACGGCGGCUGCUGGUGGAAGCAGCGGGUUUUGAAGGAGCGGUAGAUGUGGGUCCGCGGUUGGGGAAGACUCGCCGGCUGGGCGACGGCGAGCGCCGGUGAUGGCAACGAAAGGAAGCCAGGCGUCGGGGUACCGCAACAAUUCGGGUGCCUGCGGCAUGACAGCAUUGCAGAAGCAUGCAGCGUUCUUCGACGGCGACAAGGACGCGGUUUUUUUCCAUUCAAUUUUUUUGGUUCCAUGUUAUCUGUAUCUUGGUGAAUGUACAACGCUAAUGUUCAGUUCAUUGUCUCAGUGUUUUUUGGCGGAGGUGUGUUCUUGUCUUGCGAGGUUCAUCCACCGUCGACGACACCUGCAACUCGUUUGGUAUAUUUGGUUAAUCAUAACCAGCAAAGAGGAGGAGUCGCAUACGUGCCUGGUAUUCUUUGUGUUGUAUGAAGUGUUCCUUCAACUAAUCAAGCAAUCUGACAUUAGUACUUUGUUUGAGCCACCGCCGAACGCUCAGCGAUGGGUUGAGUUGGUUGAGGUGUAGGUGGAGCAUUUGCUCGCCGAGGAUGGCACGUGCGCGAGCUGAAGUACGACGCCGGCCAACUUCGGCCUCUGAGGCUUCCCUGACGCGCUCCUCUACCACUACCUCCUCAACAACAAGGUGAGCAUCCCACUCUCCAUUUUUCCUGAGAACUUCCAAUGACUAUUCAAAAAAUCAUCCAAGAGAGAGGCAGUAGCAGCAGACCAAAGCUAAGGAAGAUCAAUUCCUUUUUGUUAUUGGCUUUUAACCUCUUGUUCCAUGUGAUUGUGGCUUAGGGCAACUCUGAUGGCAGCCAGUUGGAGUUUGCUAUGUUACAUAUGCAAGUCCUUUUGAAAUCUGAAACUUCUGUGUGGUGAUGAGUUUCUGCUCAUCUUGAUUGAUUCAUCUCCAGUGAACGGGGACUCGUCCUUCCGUGGUGCUCAGCCACAAACCGAUUUGGAGGGGAAAUAGGAGAGCCUGACGAAUAUGAGCAUAAUAUCUAUGCAUAUUUUGAGUUUUUUAAGCCUAGUACUCUCUAUUUUUCAAUCUUAAAAUAGCAUGCCACAAGUUAAAAUACAGAAAUUAAGUCACUGACCCAGUCUGUACAUAAUAUCAAUGCAUAUUUUGAGUUUUUUUUAGAAUCUAUAUGCGCAAAUACUCAAUUUGGCACUUCCCAUACAGGCAAAAGUGCUACCUUAAAUUUGUAGCUCUGAUAAAAAAAUAAUUUCAAACGUAUCUGAUGGUAAAAAAGAUAAUGACGGGAAAACUACACACCAUUCAUCCAAGUGAAAGUCAGAGUUUCUCUUCUGAAGAGUACUUACUAUAUAGAACCACAUCUUUGUCAGGUUUAUUCUGUAUAACUGGGAAUACAUGUUUCAGGAGCCUAUUGUUUCUGUUGAUCGCAGUUACUAUCUUGUGUAGGUUGCAAUAUCUGCCAGCUUUGUAUUCUUUUUGUCAAUUCUGUGUUGGUAGGUUGGUCCAUACGGUAAAGCUUAAAACUUCUGAAAUAGACAUCUAUGGAUAUGGACAUGCUAAACAUUUUCAGGAAUGUAAGAAGGCAGUAGUCUCUUGAAAAGUCAUUUGAUCUCGCAAGAGAGAAGCUUCCUGGAACAUUUAAUUAUUUUUCUGUUGUGUUAUUGAUUUCACCAGUUUUAUGUCAGCCGAUUAAUUCUGAAGGAUUCUAAACUUCCUGAUAUAUGUAUUUAGAGCAUUUGCUGAGAUUUGAUGCAAAAUACUCAUGGCCAGGCAUUAUACUGUGCAUAAGCACAAUUUUUCAGUUUUUCUUUUUCUUGUUGCGGCAGUUUUUCUACAGCAAUAGCCAAUAGUGUGACAUCACACUACUCCAUUUUCACAGGCCAUGGAACAAUAAAUAUCUUGGCAAGGGAUACCCUAUGGUCUACUGUUAUAACUAUGUGUGCACUUUGGAUCUUUUGGAUGUCUUGUUUAGCAUCCUUUUUGACAGAGUUGAUUAAUUUAAUAGUGAAAUAGUUGGUUAUGUCAGAUGUGUAAUACUGGUUGUGGUAUCUCACAUUUGUCAAAUAUUCAUAUGUUGCUGGUAGUCAUGCUUAUGCCUAGGAUAUUAAGUAACCUUGUGCUAUGCUGUGACUAAAUAAAAGCAAUGUUUAGACUUAUCUUUUGUUUUCUCUACUUAAAGAGUCCCGUGUUUUGCAGGGUCUAACCAGGAAGGAUUGUGGGUUCAUAAUUUCAUGCCAAGACCCUAAAAGCAUUUUUGUCUCUUGCUUCGACUAUCAUAUCUAUUUUCUCUGUAAAUUCUAGACCUGCAGUUCAGAUUAUGAUCUUUGUAUGCCCUUUUUUUGUACCUUCUGAAGUAGGCUAACAUUACAAAAAAGAGCCACAUGUUUUAGAAAUUGAAUUAUGUGGUCACCAUGACAGCUUUUCAAGUUAUGGUUCUUUAGCCAUUUAAUGCAGUAUUGAUGGUGUAGUGUGCUUCAUGAAAUGAAAUAUAGUGCAUAGUUCGUCAGUUUUGAGACUUACCCACAUCUUUUUGCUACUCCUUUUGCCCUGCACCAUAUUUUCUUACAUGUAUUGCUUCACCCGUCACCAUAGAGGUCUUACCUCACCAGGACCAUGGAGCCGCUAGGAGUACGAUCAAUAUAUGAUCAUUCUUAGAGUUGAAAUUCUAAUUUUCACAUUUAAUCAAUUCCUUCAUCAAGUGAGUCAUAGUAAACCACUAAACAUGAAUCUUAUGUGUAUAUAUUACUUCUUCAUUUGCCACUUAUUUUGUUCAAAAUAUUUUUAUGAUAUUUCUAAAAAAGCUUAAGGUUAGAGAUGCGGGGCUAUUGUAGGAUGGAACAUAAAUUAAUGUUAAAAUAUUUUUUGAAUUUCCUUUAUAAACUACAAUACAAGAUAUGUUUGGGCCACACGAUUCUAUUCCAAAAAUUUAAACAACUAGGCAAUUGACGACACAUCAAAUGUUAUGUAUUGAUAUAGGUCAUAAUGGUUUUAUUCUAUGACAAGCUUAAUUUGCUUAUAAUGUAACCAUUUCAAGGAUUGACGAGUUUUUAAGCCAUAUGACCUUUGCACACUCAAGUUACACGUUGUAAAUGGCUCAUGUCUUGCACUGUUUUCGCUUUCCAAGCUACAGUCUUUUGAUAUACUCCUUCUAUAAACUAAUAUAAGACCAUUUAGAUCACUAAGUUUAGCAACCUUAAUGGUUUUAUAUUAGUUUACAGAGGGAGUACUUGAAAGGACAUUCUUUAUAUGUUGUUUGAUUCUAUCAGCCGUACAACCUAAAUUAAAAAGUAGGGAUCUACGCAGUGUAGUGGAACCAUUGUGCUUGCUGCAGUUUUAUUAUAGUGUUGAAAUGUUUUACUUAGUUUAUUCUGUACUUAAAAAUAUAUUUUUCCAGCCAUUGUUUUCUAAAUGUUUUCCUUAGUUUUAUUAUACCUGAUAUGGCCUUUGAAUAUGCUGAUAUGGCCUUUGAAGUUUCUGUUCUAUAACAAGCUUUGCACUGGUCUACUUGAGCAUGGUAUGGUUCAUUCUUUUUUGUUGCAGCUAUUCCAGAGAAGUUUAGAGCUCCACAACCUUAUGAAGACUUGAGUAGCAGAGAUGAAACAAUCAAUUAGAUGAGAUGCAUCACAUGAUUUUUUUUUCUCUUGACGUUGAUGGGUAUUGAACCUAUAGAUCAACUUAUCAAUGGAACCCUUAUCAGUGUUGAGAAUAUGGCACAAAAACUCAAACACAGGACGAUCAGCCGAGGGAAGAAGCUAAGAAGCAUCAGGAAGGACUUUUAGGAUGGUAUUGCGGUCAAAUGCAUCCUAGGAUAGGUCUUUAAGAAUUAUGGUGUGUUUCACUCCUUUUUUGUUUACCUUGCCACAUUUGUUAGCCUCAAUUUGUUAUUAUCCUUCUAAACAGGUGCAGAACUAAAACUUACCUAGGUUGUGAGAGCUGAUGGUGAUUUGAUUGAAAGAUCUGCUUGCAUUGUU
Long non-coding RNA from Triticum aestivum (bread wheat), 4345 nucleotides. RefSeq lists it as uncharacterized. The record is from RefSeq and is a predicted model, not a curated record. NCBI's taxonomy places the organism in Eukaryota, Viridiplantae, Streptophyta, Magnoliopsida, Poales, Poaceae. The transcript has 3 exons.